Molecule: RNA transcript, 1296 nt
Organism: Vitis vinifera (wine grape)
Lineage: Eukaryota; Viridiplantae; Streptophyta; Magnoliopsida; Vitales; Vitaceae
Exons: 11
Source: RefSeq, a predicted model, not a curated record
AUGCUGAUGGAGAAAUGUGUACUGAAUCAUUUGGAUGAUUGCAGCUCAACCCUGAUAAUCACCCAUCUUGGCUGGGGUGCAGCUGAGCUAUGGUUGAUCUUUUGGGGCAUUUGGGUUGUCAAACUGCCCAAGGACCUGACUAUCAAACCAAAGUAUCUUGUAACAUUUACUGUUGGUUGUGAUCAGAAAAAAAAUGUUGAUGCAGCAGUUAAAAAGUUCUCUGAGGACUUUACCAUCCUUCUAUUUCAUUAUGAUGGUCAAACAACUGAAUGGGAUGAAUUUGAGUGGUCAAAGAGGGCCAUUCAUGUGAGCGUUCGGAGACAAACAAAAUGGUGGUAUGCCAAAAGAUUUCUGCAUCCUGACAUUGUGGCGCCAUAUGACUAUAUAUUUAUCUGGGAUGAAGAUCUAGGAGUUGAGCAUUUUAAUGCAGAAGAAUAUAUAAGACUAGUGAGGAAAUAUGGCUUGGAGAUUUCACAACCUGGUUUAGAACCUAAUAAAGGGUUAACAUGGCAGAUGACAAAAAGAAGAGGUGAUCGAGAAGUCCACAAAGAAAUAGAGGAGAAACCGGUCUGGUGCCCUAACCCACAUUUGCCUCCCUGUGCAGCAUAUGAAAAGCUUUGAGCAGUACUGUUUGUUGAGAUCAUGGCUCCUGUAUUUUCUAGAGAUGCAUGGCGGUGUGUGUGGCAUAUGCUUCAGAAUGACCUGGCACAUGGUUGGGGUCUUGACUUUGCUCUUAGAAGAUGUGUAGAGCCUGCCCAUGAGAAAAUUGGAGUUGUAGAUUCUCAAUGGAUCAUUCAUCAAACUUUUCCCUCGCUUGGGAACCAGGGGCAAGCGGAGAAUGGGAAGGCACCAUGGCAAGGGGUGAGGGAGAAGUGUAAAAAAGAGUGGACCAUGUUUCGAGUUCGCAUGACCAAUGCCAAAAAAGCAUAUUACAAGGAGAUGGGAAUUAAUCCUACCAAUUCCACAGCUGACCCUCACAGAAGCUGACCUGUAUACAAUCAUAAUUACCACUGUUCUUAGGGUUUAUUUUAUUUUAUUUUAUUUAAUAAUAACGAUCAUUUUUUAGUAUCCCAGAGGUUACUGAUGAGAGUGCUUUGAUCUUCCAUGCUGCUAGAAGUGAAUUAGGUAUCCGGGUGGCAGGUGAAAGAGAAAAAAAGUCAAUUAUUCGUUUCUAUCAUCGUCUAUUCAUUUUUGUUCUCUCUUUCACACAUUGAUAUGUAGACAUUAAAUGGGCAUGAAAGUUCCUCCUUCAUGGGCCAUUAUAGAUGAAAUAUGAAUCAAAGUUAAUGCUAGCAA